RNAcentral lists this ribosomal RNA (253 nucleotides) under uncultured bacterium. RNAcentral describes it as "partial 16S ribosomal RNA". It matches the Rfam family "Bacterial small subunit ribosomal RNA", at positions 524 to 776 of the family's 1533-position model. The record is from RNAcentral.
UACGUAGGGUGCGAGCGUUGUCCGGAAUUACUGGGCGUAAAGAGCUCGUAGGCGGUUUGUCGCGUCGUCCGUGAAAACUUGGGGCUCAACCCCAAGCUUGCGGGCGAUACGGGCAGACUUGAGUACUGCAGGGGAGACUGGAAUUCCUGGUGUAGCGGUGAAAUGCGCAGAUAUCAGGAGGAACACCGGUGGCGAAGGGCGGGUCUCUGGGCAGUAACUACGUGAGGAAGCGAAAGCGUGGGUAGCAAACAGG